UUUGGUUCCCACUGGAAGACUCAGGGGAGGCAUGCGGACCCAAAGGAAAAGUUCCAAGGGAGGAACAGGGAACUCAUCUGGAAAACGGAUACGCAGCACCUUCCAGCUAUGUAUGAAUGCUAACCAGUAGGGAUGAAGCUUCCAGGUUGCUGUGUGCUCUGUUUACAAGAGUAGCAGAGUUACUCUUGCUGCCUCCCAGUGCUACUGUCGCUCUGUUCCUUCAUGGAUGAAAACCCAGCUUUUUCAGGCUCCCAGUGUGGACUGUAGACCAGCAGUUCUCCAGGAAUCCUCCACCCUUCAGUGCUAGUUGGGACUGCUGAGACAGCCAGGUUGAGGAUUGGGUUCUCUACAUUUCCAGUAUGAGACAGUCAUUGUUGGAUAUUGUGCAGGACACUCUACUAAAUCUUAUUUUAAUGUAUGUUAAUUCUCUCUGUUCUGUUCUUCUAGAGAACUCUGCCUAAUAUAGUACAUGACACAGCUUGUCAACCUGAGUGAACUUAUCAUGUUAAACUUAGCAAAAUAUGCAACUGA
Long non-coding RNA from Nannospalax galili (Upper Galilee mountains blind mole rat), 531 nucleotides. RefSeq lists it as uncharacterized. The record is from RefSeq and is a predicted model, not a curated record. Lineage: Eukaryota; Metazoa; Chordata; Mammalia; Rodentia; Spalacidae. The transcript is spliced from 3 exons.